Molecule: ribosomal RNA, 253 nt
Filed under: uncultured bacterium
Lineage: Bacteria
Description: partial 16S ribosomal RNA
Rfam family: Bacterial small subunit ribosomal RNA
Source: RNAcentral
UACGUAGGGGGCAAGCGUUGUCCGGAAUCAUUGGGCGUAAAGCGCGCGUAGGCGGCCCGAUAAGUCCGGUGUGAAAGUCACAGGCUCAACCUGUGAAUGCCGCUGGAAACUGUCUGGCUUGAGUCCGGAAGGGGCGAGUGGAAUUCCUGGUGUAGCGGUGAAAUGCGCAGAUAUCAGGAGGAACACCAAUGGCGAAGGCAGCUCGCUGGAACGGUACUGACGCUGAGGCGCGAAAGCGGGGGGAGCGAACAGG